AGGUAAACUCUUCAUGAUUUCUUCGUUAACACUGUGUGGAGCAAUGCAAAAAAACUGUAAUUCCCAAUUUUUCAUUUCCAAUGCCUCAGAUUCAAUUGAAAUUGAAAAUAAGUUUUAUUCUGUCGAUGCACCAAUUAUCGUUGUUUUGUGUGAUAAGAGUGUGUAUUUCUGUGUGCUUGAGGUCAGUGUGGUACAUGAAAUGUGAGGCUGUCUCGGUCUCUGGAAACUUGCGUGGAUGAAAUUGGUGUGUCUGUUCUCUGAAAUUUGCUUAGUAUUGUCUGAUUGUUGAUUCGUGUAAUUGUUUUGGUGGGAGCUGAUGCCUGGAGGUGUAAAUUCACCCGUGCGGGUUUUAAAUCCGUUGGUGGACAACCUAUAGUGAUGGAUUCUGUGAAGGGCUCUCGCAUGUGGGAUAUUGACGGCAACGAGUACAUCGACUAUGUUGGUUCUUGGUGUCCAGCAAUAAUUGGUCAUGCGGAUGAUCGGGUUCUAUUUUUCUUCCUUUUUCCCCCUGAUUUCGUGAUCAAUGAAUGCAGUACUUUGGUUACGGUCUAGGCACUAGAAGAUUAUGACUUGAUUGAGCAAGACUGGAACUUAAUUAUUCAAGGAGAAAUUUGGUUUAUGCAUGGACUGGGGAGAGCUUAAAUUUCUCGUUUGAGAAAAGUGGCCAAUUACUAAGGCUAGGAUUUCACAUGUUAUUAGUCCUUUCUUUUGUAAGAAAACGCAGCAAUUGAGUGAAGGAAUGAUCACUGUCAUUCGUUUUACUCGAAGUGAUAAAAGGAGCUUUAUCAUGGUGAACAAACCAUUUUGCCGUGCACAUGAUGUUCCUUGCACAAUGGCAGUGAAUUCUUUAACACAAAUCAAAAUUAUUUUUCAAGUCUUCCAGACUGACAUUUACCUACAGGUACUUGCAGCCUAGGCUGAAACAAUGAAGAAAGGUACCAGCUUUGGUGCCUCUUGUCUUCUAGAGAAUGUACUAGCAGAGAUGGUGAUUAAAGCAGUUCAGGUAUAGAAAUGUACGAUUUAUUAAUUCAGGCAAAGAGGCUUGCAUGGGUGUGCUUCGCCUAGCCCGUGCCUUCACUGGAAAGGAGAAGCUUAUCAUGUUUGAGGGUUGUUACCAAGGCCAUGCUGAUACUUUCCUUGUCAGGGACGGAAGUGAUGUUGCUACAUUAUGUCUACCAGACUCACCUGGUGUCCCCAGAGCAGCAACCAGUGAAACUUUAACAGUCCCCUUCAAUGACUUGCAUGCAGUGCGAGGUCUUUUUGAGACGAACAAAGGAGAGAUUGCACCGGUAAUCCUCGAACCUGUUGUUGGAAAUUCUGGUCUUAUUGCACCUAAACCAGACUUCCUUGAAGCUAUCCGCAGGAUUACCAAAGAGAAUAAUGCGCUUCUAAUAUUUGAUGAAGUUAUGACUGGAUUCCGUUUGUCAUAUGGUGGAGCUCAGGAGUAUUUGGCAUAACACCUGAUCUAACAACGCUUGGCAAGAUCAUUGGCGGUGGUCUACCAAGUGGUGCUUAUGGGGGAAGAAGGGAGAUUAUGGAGAUGGUUGAGCCUGCUGGACCAAUGUAUCAGGCUGGGACGUUGAGUGGGAAUCCUUUGGCAAUGACUGCAGGCAUACACACUCUAAAACGAUUGCACGAGCCAGGAAGCUAUGAAUACCUAGGUAAGAUCACAGGUGAACUUGUCCAAGGCAUUUUGGAUGCUGGCAAGAGGGCUGGGCAUGUUGUCUGUGGCGGGCACAUAGGUGGCAUGUUUGGCUUUUUUUAACAGAAGGACCCGUUUACAACUUUGGUGAUGCAAAGAAAAGCGACACAGCAAAAUUUGCCAGGUUUUACCAAGGAAUGCUAGAGGAAGCUGUAUACUUGGCUCCUUCACAAUUUGAGGCUGGUUUUACAAGCUUGGCACAUAUCGCUGAAGCUAUUCAUUCAACAAUUCCUUUUUGUCCUCUUCCAUUCGUUUGUGACGCCACUUUUCUAUUGGGAAACCAUCACUUUUAGGGACACCUUGGCCUUUCUAUGAAUGAAUUGGCCGUUUACUUUGACCAGUUCUAUCCGGUGAGAGUUUGUAUUUUUUUCCUCUGGGAUCAGAACAUUUUAGUAAUUCUGUGUAUCAUUCGCUUUUUAAGCUGCUGCUUCUUCUUCUUCUUUUUAUUUUUUGUUGCUUUAAAGUUAAAGAUGUCAUUCCGCUUUUGAAUUUUAUUUUA
Molecule: unclassified non-coding RNA, 2201 nt
Filed under: Hevea brasiliensis (rubber tree)
Lineage: Eukaryota; Viridiplantae; Streptophyta; Magnoliopsida; Malpighiales; Euphorbiaceae
Source: RNAcentral